This 1386-nucleotide ribosomal RNA is filed under the name uncultured bacterium. RNAcentral describes it as "bacterial SSU rRNA". It matches the Rfam family "Bacterial small subunit ribosomal RNA". The record is from RNAcentral.
GAAUUCGCCCUUAGAGUUUGAUCCUGGCUCAGGACGAACGCUGGCGGCGCGCCUAACACAUGCAAGUCGAACGGAGCUUAGAGAGCUUGCUUUUUAAGCUUAGUGGCGAACGGGUGAGUAACGCGUGAGUAACCUGCCCUAGAGUGGGGGACAACAGUUGGAAACGACUGCUAAUACCGCAUAAGCCCACGGUACCGCAUGGUACUGAGGGAAAAGGAUUUAUUCGCUUUAGGAUGGACUCGCGUCCAAUUAGCUAGUUGGUGAGGUAACGGCCCACCAAGGCGACGAUUGGUAGCCGGACUGAGAGGUUGAACGGCCACAUUGGGACUGAGACACGGCCCAGACUCCUACGGGAGGCAGCAGUGGGGGAUAUUGCACAAUGGGGGAAACCCUGAUGCAGCGACGCCGCGUGGAGGAAGAAGGUUUUCGGAUUGUAAACUCCUGUCGUUAGGGACGAUAAUGACGGUACCUAACAAGAAAGCACCGGCUAACUACGUGCCAGCAGCCGCGGUAAAACGUAGGGUGCAAGCGUUGUCCGGAAUUACUGGGUGUAAAGGGAGCGCAGGCGGGAAGACAAGUUGGAAGUGAAAACCAUGGGCUCAACCCAUGAAUUGCUUUCAAAACUGUUUUUCUUGAGUAGUGCAGAGGUAGAUGGAAUUCCCGGUGUAGCGGUGGAAUGCGUAGAUAUCGGGAGGAACACCAGUGGCGAAGGCGGUCUACUGGGCACCAACUGACGCUGAGGCUCGAAAGCAUGGGUAGCAAACAGGAUUAGAUACCCUGGUAGUCCAUGCCGUAAACGAUGAUUACUAGGUGUUGGGGGAUUGACCCCCUCAGUGCCGCAGUUAACACAAUAAGUAAUCCACCUGGGGAGUACGACCGCAAGGUUGAAACUCAAAGGAAUUGACGGGGGCCCGCACAAGCAGUGGAGUAUGUGGUUUAAUUCGAAGCAACGCGUAGAACCUUACCAGGUCUUGACAUCCAACUAACGAAGCAGAGAUGCAUUAGGUGCCCUUCGGGGAAAGUUGAGACAGGUGGUGCAUGGUUGUCGUCAGCUCGUGUCGUGAGAUGUUGGGUUAAGUCCCGCAACGAGCGCAACCCUUGUGAUUAGUUGCUACGCAAGAGCACUCUAAUCAGACUGCCGCUGACAAAACGGAGGAAGGUGGGGACGACGUCAAAUCAUCAUGCCCUUUAUGACCUGGGCUACACACGUACUACAAUGGUCGUUAACAGAGGGAAGCAAUACCGCGAGGUGGAGCAAAACCCUAAAAACGGUCUCAGUUCAGAUUGUAGGCUGCAACUCGCCUACAUGAAGUUGGAAUUGCUAGUAAUCGCGGAUCAGCAUGCCACGGUGAAUACGUUCCCGGGCCUUGCACUCACCGCCCGUCA